Molecule: ribosomal RNA, 394 nt
Filed under: uncultured Azospira sp.
Lineage: Bacteria; Pseudomonadati; Pseudomonadota; Betaproteobacteria; Rhodocyclales; Rhodocyclaceae
Description: bacterial SSU rRNA
Rfam family: Bacterial small subunit ribosomal RNA
Source: RNAcentral
CCUGGCUCAGAUUGAACGCUGGCGGCAUGCCUUACACAUGCAAGUCGAACGGCAGCACGGGAGCUUGCUCCUGGUGGCGAGUGGCGAACGGGUGAGUAAUACAUCGGAACGUACCCAGGAGUGGGGGAUAACGUAGCGAAAGUUACGCUAAUACCGCAUAUUCUGUGAGCAGGAAAGCGGGGGAUCGCAAGACCUCGCGCUCUUGGAGCGGCCGAUGUCGGAUUAGCUAGUUGGUGAGGUAAAAGCUCACCAAGGCGACGAUCCGUAGCAGGUCUGAGAGGAUGAUCUGCCACACUGGGACUGAGACACGGCCCAGACUCCUACGGGAGGCAGCAGUGGGGAAUUUUGGACAAUGGGGGCAACCCUGAUCCAGCCAUGCCGCGUGAGUGAAGAA